AAUGGGCGAAAGCCUGACGGAGCGACGCCGCGUGGAGGAUGAAGUAUUUCGGUAUGUAAACUCCUGUCAUCAGGGACGAAAGAAAUGACGGUACCUGAGGAGGAAGCAUCGGCUAACUACGUGCCAGCAGCCGCGGUAAUACGUAGGAUGCAAGCGUUGUUCGGAAUUACUGGGCGUAAAGCGUACGUAGGCGGUGACAUAAGUUUAAUAUUAAAGACCGAAGCUCAACUUCGGGAAUGUAUUGAAUACUGUGUCGCUAGAGGUUAAUAGAGGAAAUCGGAAUUCCCAGUGUAGCGGUGAAAUGCGUAGAUAUUGGGAAGAACACCGGUGGCGAAAGCGGAUUUCUGGGUUAAUACUGACGCUGAGGUACGAAAGUGUGGGGAGCAAA
This 388-nucleotide ribosomal RNA is filed under the name uncultured bacterium. RNAcentral's name for it is "bacterial SSU rRNA". It matches the Rfam family "Bacterial small subunit ribosomal RNA", at positions 370 to 772 of the family's 1533-position model. The record is from RNAcentral.